CCGGGACGUGGAAGUGGCUUAGAUUAACUUGUUCGACCCAUCAAAAUGGUAUUUGCGCAAACGGGAUUCUGUGUGUUGACCACAUAAAUAUUCAUAACUUCGUGGUCGUGCCCAAGCAUAGACUCCACUCUGCCAGCCUGGACCAUCACGUGGCCACAGCGUGGAGCCUGUUAUUUACCAGACACUGUGUUGGGACACCUUGGAGAGGGGCUCCGCCAAGAAAGGGUUUUUCUCACAGUGAUUCGUCCAGCCCUCUUGCACUCCUGUGACUGGCCCUGGGAAGAUCAUGCUCCAGAUCCCUGCUUCCCUUUAUCCUAAAAUGAAAGAGACUGGAACUCAUCCUCUGGCCUAAAGCAGAGCUGCCCCACUGGCCUACAGGCCUGUGAGUGAGAAAUGCUUGCUGUGGCAAACCACUGAGAUCUGAGGGUGUUUGUUACCCCACAUCAUCUCAGCAGCAGCUAAGAUAAGUUACUACAAAGUACAGUUUGCUCAACUUGAGGACUUUCUGUGAACUCUACUAGCAUUUGGGGAGCUGCCCCCCACUCCAGGGAUAAAGCAAGAGAGGACUCCUUUGUUGCCUAGGACCCGAGUCCUGCA
Zalophus californianus (California sea lion) is the source of this 597-nucleotide long non-coding RNA. RefSeq lists it as uncharacterized. The transcript is spliced from 3 exons. The record is from RefSeq and is a predicted model, not a curated record. Lineage: Eukaryota; Metazoa; Chordata; Mammalia; Carnivora; Otariidae.